GAGGGGUGCUUGUGUGAAUCUAUGUAUGUCUCUAUACAUGUGUGUGUGUGUGUGUGUGUGUGUGUGUGUGUGUGUGUGUGUGUGUGUGUGUGUGUGUGUGUGUGUGUGUGUGUGUGUGUGUGUGUGUGUGUGUGUAUUUGUGUGUGUGCGUGAGUGUGUGUGCGCCAGGGGCAGGCCACAGCUGUUAACCUGAAUCCCUCUCUUUCUCUCUCCUUAACAUCCCCUCCUCUCUCACCUGGCUCCCAAGGCCUCCUGGCUGCUGAUGCUGCUGCUGCUGCCCAGCUGUGUGUGGCCUGCCUGGGCCAGCCUGGCCUCUGAUUACUGGCCAUCUGCAGCAGCAGGAGCCACCCUGAGGACAGACAGAUCUCUAACCCCUGCCUAAAGGCCAGCUCAUCUCUGUGGCUGAGCUUUCCUGUCUCCCUUUCUCUCCUCUCCCUACUUUUUCUCUCUUCUUUUUUUCUCCAUUGCUGUGUCUCUUCUCUUCUUUGCUGUCACACACAGGUCUGAACCCUGGUGAUGAAGAGAGGGGAGGGGAGAGAGGGAGAUGGAGAGGGGGUUACUGAAAGGUGUCACAUGCGCUGAUGUGAUAAGGGUGCCAGGUAGAGAUAACCAAGCAUCCUUCGUCACUAUGGAGCCAAGUACAGCCUGUCCUCUUGAGUUAAAACAGGAACACUCGCACACAAGUGCACACACACACACACACAGUCACACACACACACACACACACACACACACACACACACACGCAAACAAUCUACAAGUUCAUUAUCCAUCUGUGGAAUGAUAAGAGCUAGAUUUCUUAUAAUAGCCAUGCUAUUGAGCUCUGGAUACUACUUCACCGUAGUAAAAACAGGAACCAGGGAGAAUACAUAACUUAACCAAUCAGAAUGGAUGCCUGAACUUAAUUAACCCUAUCCUAAACCUUACUCCUUAACUUAACCAAUCGCAGUUAAUGCCUGUACUGAUAACCAAUCGGAAAUGAAUGCCUGAACUUGACCCUUUCUGUUAUAACCCUAUCCCAAACCUUAACCCAGUCAGAGUGAAUGCCUGAACCGUAGAGGUGUUUCUGUGAGCCUAAAUCGUCUGGAGCUCAUGUGGGAGGGGAGCUGUGUGUCUAAAUACAGGACGUCGGGAGAGGAAGUCAGUUUACUAGUCAAAAAUAGACGUUUGUCCAAGGACGUCAAGACCCGAGACUGUGAGAUCUUGUUGACACUGAAACUCGAUGUACUAGUGGUGACUAACGUGUCAACAUGAUCCCACCUGCUCAGCGGUGAGAUCGUUAUGGUGGGAACGGGCGGUGCCAGAUUACUGUGACCUGCAGCCCCCCUCCAGAUGGACACUCUCCCAGCUGGCUAACUCCUUUUAAGGAGCUUCAUUAUUACCAUGCCGCUCUUUGUAUAGUCUCAGAUGAGACCGGUGACGGAACGUCUGCAUGGUGACCGACCGCGGUGCUGCAUGGUGACCGACCGCGGUGCUGCAUGGUGACCGACUGCGGUGCUGCAUGGUGACCGACCGCGGUGCUGCAUGGUGACUGACUGCGGUGCUGCAUGGUGACCGACCGCGGUGCUGCAUGGUGACCGACCGCGGUGCGGCAUGGUGACCGACCGCGGUGCUGCAUGGUCCAACGGUAGCAGACCUCCUCAGAGGAGCGGUCUACAGUGUGAGCGCAUGCAGUGCAGGCACAGCGAGCACCAGGAAGUCGACGUGUGAUGUGUGAGAUUUAUUGGUGUGCCUACCCUCCACUCUUAAUAAUGUUUUAUAGCCAUUCUCUGGUUUGGCGGUCAUGGGUAAUCCACUACCAUAGACUGUCGUCAUGACCGGGGGAAGCUGACUGGUUGGAAAGCGAGAAAGAGAAAUUACAUCAUGGAACAGGACUGGUUGGAAAGCAACACACUGUCAUGUGUUUCUCUGAAGAUCACACGUUUAUCAAAGCCCAUUGAAACGGAGAGCACCGUAUGGGCUAUAAUAGUCUAUAGUGUGGUGUAGUGGGUCGCUAUUUAAAGCCUUGUUGUAAUUCCUAAUUGUGUUAUGUUGUAAAAUGUCUUCAUGCUGAAGCCAUCAAACUAAGGCUCCCUCCCCUACCCUCUCCCCCCAUCCAGUAAGUCCCCUGCCCUGCAAUAUAGUUACUACUAAACUCUAGACAUGUUAUGGUACAGUGCUCUAUUUGAAUGUAUCCCACCCAGACCUCAGGCGGUGGGAUAGUUCAUGCUGUGCUAGUAGACAUCUCUGCAUCGGUGGAUACUGCAGAUACACACAGGAGAUGUUCCAAGUCACGUGGCUCCUUUAUUUGUAAAGGAGUGUGUACGACCGGUGCCCAAGUACUGCUUUACAUAUGGGAUAACUGGCA
Oncorhynchus tshawytscha (Chinook salmon) is the source of this 2347-nucleotide long non-coding RNA. The record is from Ensembl. Lineage: Eukaryota; Metazoa; Chordata; Actinopteri; Salmoniformes; Salmonidae.